This 184-nucleotide microRNA precursor is filed under the name Paramuricea clavata. The record is from RNAcentral. Lineage: Eukaryota; Metazoa; Cnidaria; Anthozoa; Malacalcyonacea; Plexauridae.
AAAUGUUGUAAAAUGCGGUAAUAUAGCCUUGCGAAGUUUGCCGUUUUUCAGUCAUUUUGCAUUACGCAUGGGAAAUUGACAUACCAAUACCCUUUGGGUCUGUCAAUUUCCCGUUUGUAAUACAAAAUGACUGAAAAACGGCAAACUUCGCAAGGCUAUAUUAUCCGCAUUUUACAAUGGAAAU